GAUGGGAGCUUGCUCCCUGAUGUUAGCGGCGGACGGGUGAGUAACACGUGGGUAACCUGCCUGUAAGACUGGGAUAACUCCGGGAAACCGGGGCUAAUACCGGAUGGUUGUUUGAACCGCAUGGUUCAAACAUAAAAGGUGGCUUCGGCUACCACUUACAGAUGGACCCGCGGCGCAUUAGCUAGUUGGUGAGGUAACGGCUCACCAAGGCAACGAUGCGUAGCCGACCUGAGAGGGUGAUCGGCCACACUGGGACUGAGACACGGCCCAGACUCCUACGGGAGGCAGCAGUAGGGAAUCUUCCGCAAUGGACGAAAGUCUGACGGAGCAACGCCGCGUGAGUGAUGAAGGUUUUCGGAUCGUAAAGCUCUGUUGUUAGGGAAGAACAAGUACCGUUCGAAUAGGGCGGUACCUUGACGGUACCUAACCAGAAAGCCACGGCUAACUACGUGCCAGCAGCCGCGGUAAUACGUAGGUGGCAAGCGUUGUCCGGAAUUAUUGGGCGUAAAGGGCUCGCAGGCGGUUUCUUAAGUCUGAUGUGAAAGCCCCCGGCUCAACCGGGGAGGGUCAUUGGAAACUGGGGAACUUGAGUGCA
Molecule: ribosomal RNA, 595 nt
Filed under: Bacillus subtilis
Lineage: Bacteria; Bacillati; Bacillota; Bacilli; Caryophanales; Bacillaceae
Description: bacterial SSU rRNA
Rfam family: Bacterial small subunit ribosomal RNA
Source: RNAcentral